CUUUCUUUGCUGGCGACCGGCGCACGGGUGAGUAACACGUAUCCAGCCUGCCCUUUACUCGGGGAUAGCCUUUCGAAAGAAAGAUUAAUACCCGAUAGCAUAAUGAUUCCGCAUGGUUUCAUUAUUAAAGGAUUCCGGUAAAGGAUGGGGAUGCGUUCCAUUAGGUUGUUGGUGGGGUAACGGCCCACCAAGCCUUCGAUGGAUAGGGGUUCUGAGAGGAAGGUCCCCCACAUUGGAACUGAGACACGGUCCAA
This 254-nucleotide ribosomal RNA is filed under the name uncultured bacterium. RNAcentral's name for it is "partial 16S ribosomal RNA". It matches the Rfam family "Bacterial small subunit ribosomal RNA", at positions 79 to 334 of the family's 1533-position model. The record is from RNAcentral.